GUGGGGAAUCUUGCGCAAUGGGCGAAAGCCUGACGCAGCCAUGCCGCGUGAAUGAUGAAGGUCUUAGGAUUGUAAAAUUCUUUCACCGGGGACGAUAAUGACGGUACCCGGAGAAGAAGCCCCGGCUAACUUCGUGCCAGCAGCCGCGGUAAUACGAAGGGGGCUAGCGUUGCUCGGAAUUACUGGGCGUAAAGGGCGCGUAGGCGGACAGUUUAGUCAGAGGUGAAAGCCCAGGGCUCAACCUUGGAAUUGCCUUUGAUACUGGCUGUCUUGAGUACGGGAGAGGUGAGUGGAACUCCGAGUGUAGAGGUGAAAAUCGUAGAUAUUCGGAAGAACACCAGUGGCGAAGGCGACUCACUGGCCCGUUACUGACGCUGAGGCGCGAAAGCGUGGGGAGCAAACAGGAUUAGAUACCCCAGUAGUCC
Molecule: ribosomal RNA, 425 nt
Filed under: uncultured bacterium
Lineage: Bacteria
Description: partial 16S ribosomal RNA
Rfam family: Bacterial small subunit ribosomal RNA
Source: RNAcentral